GACGAACGCUGGCGGCGUGCUUAACACAUGCAAGUCGAGCGGUAAGGCCUCCUUCGGGGGGUACACGAGCGGCGAACGGGUGAGUAACACGUGAGUAAUCUGCCCUUCACUCUGGGAUAAGCACCGGAAACGGUGUCUAAUACCGGAUACGACCAACCUACGCAUGUGGUGUUGGUGGAAACUUUUUUGGGUGGGGGAUGUGCUCGCGGCCUAUCAGCUUGAUGGUGGGGUAAUGGCCUACCAUGGCGUCGACGGGUAGCCGGCCUGAGAGGGUGACCGGUCACACUGGGACUGAGACACGGCCCAGACUCCUACGGGAGGCAGCAGUGGGGAAUAUUGGACAAUGGGCGGAAGCCUGAUCCAGCAACGCCGCGUGAGGGAUGACGGCCUUCGGGUUGUAAACCUCUUUCAUCACCGACGAAGGCUCAUCUUUUGGGUGGGUUGACGGUAGGUGGAGAAGAAGCACCGGCCAACUACGUGCCAGCAGCCGCCGUAACAC
Molecule: ribosomal RNA, 499 nt
Filed under: uncultured bacterium
Lineage: Bacteria
Description: bacterial SSU rRNA
Rfam family: Bacterial small subunit ribosomal RNA
Source: RNAcentral